AUUUAAAUGAUGAGCAAUUAACUUUCGCCCCUAUCUGAAAAAAACUUCUCAUGUUGAAUGCGAAUGAUUGGUCUUACUGAAAAAAUUAA
Molecule: small nucleolar RNA, 89 nt
Organism: Lucilia cuprina (Australian sheep blowfly)
Lineage: Eukaryota; Metazoa; Arthropoda; Insecta; Diptera; Calliphoridae
Rfam family: Small nucleolar RNA Me28S-Gm1083
About the family: Me28S-Gm1083 is a member of the C/D class of snoRNA which contain the C (UGAUGA) and D (CUGA) box motifs. This family directs 2'-O-methylation of 28S G-1083.
Source: Rfam